RNAcentral lists this transfer RNA (85 nucleotides) under bacterium. Its description in RNAcentral is "tRNA-Leu". It matches the Rfam family "tRNA". Rfam says of the family: Transfer RNA (tRNA) molecules are approximately 80 nucleotides in length. Their secondary structure includes four short double-helical elements and three loops (D, anti-codon, and T loops). The record is from RNAcentral. RNAcentral also lists the same sequence under 1 other name.
GCCCAGGUGGUGAAAUUGGUAUACACGCGAGGUUUAGGACCUCGUGCCGCAAGGCGUGGAGGUUCGAGUCCUCUCCUGGGCACCA